GGGUUAGUAGGUUGGUCAUGCCUCUGGUCCGCACUGGUCUCACUGAUUCCUCCUUCCUGAUGAGCCGUAAUGCCAUUAAUUUGGUCUUGCGGGGAAUUUGGACUGUUACUUUGAAAAAAUUAGAGUGUUUAAAGCAAGCUAACGCUUGAAUACAUUAGCAUGGAAUCAUGAAAUAGGACGUUCGAUCCUAUUUUGUUGGCUUCUAGGAUUAACGUA
RNAcentral lists this ribosomal RNA (216 nucleotides) under Campeiostachys nutans. RNAcentral describes it as "Elymus nutans partial small subunit ribosomal RNA". The stretch from base 40 to 216 matches the Rfam family "Eukaryotic small subunit ribosomal RNA", at positions 686 to 864 of the family's 1831-position model. Lineage: Eukaryota; Viridiplantae; Streptophyta; Magnoliopsida; Poales; Poaceae. The record is from RNAcentral.